RNAcentral lists this ribosomal RNA (405 nucleotides) under uncultured bacterium. RNAcentral describes it as "bacterial SSU rRNA". It matches the Rfam family "Bacterial small subunit ribosomal RNA", at positions 355 to 776 of the family's 1533-position model. The record is from RNAcentral.
UGAGGAAUAUUGCACAAUGGGCGAAAGCCUGAUGCAGCGACGCCGCGUGGGUGAAGAAGGUUUUCGGAUCGUAAAACCCUUUUCUGUGUGACGAGAGAGGACGGUAGCACAGGAAUAAGUCUCGGCUAACUACGUGCCAGCAGCCGCGGUAAAACGUAGGAGACAAACGUUAUCCGGAGUUACUGGGCGUAAAGGGCGUGUAGGUGGUUUCGUAAGUCUGGCGUGAAAUUUCUCGGCUUAACCGAGGCAGGUCGUCGGAUACUGCGGAGCUAGAGGACGGUAGAGGCGUGUGGAAUUCCGGGUGUAGUGGUGAAAUGCGUAGAGAUCCGGAGGAACACCAGUGGCGAAGGCGACACGCUGGGCCGUACCUGACACUGAUGCGCGACAGCAUGGGGAGCAAACAGG